This 748-nucleotide small RNA is filed under the name Histoplasma ohiense. RNAcentral's name for it is "hypothetical lncRNA". The record is from RNAcentral. Lineage: Eukaryota; Fungi; Ascomycota; Eurotiomycetes; Onygenales; Ajellomycetaceae.
GUAGUAAAAUAUUGAACGCACUGCAAAGUCAUUUUUCAAGGUUAUUUUGGUCAUCUGGGAACUACACCCAGCUUCAUGAACAUCCAUUUCAUGUUAGGCCGAGCCAUACGCAGUACUCUAUACGAACUUGAAUCGUUGGUUUUUAGGCAAAUAUACUAGUAGCCAAGAAACUCCGAUCGCUACUAAUCUGUAGUAUUGAUUGCAUUGAUUCCAUUCCAUCAAUUCUACUGGGUUGCCCCAGUUGCAUCACCCUUGGCAAAUGCCAGAUUCUCUUAUAAUCAAUCAUUUGGCCAAUGCUCCUUCAAUGUAAGUGGCUAGCUGAUCCAUUCAUCGUUUUGCGAAUAGUUUUGCGUGAGCAUCUACUCCGUACUCACAUUCUGCUCUGAGAUUUAAGUUCUUCAUAAGCCAACGCCACCACUUACAACAGUUGGUGGAAUGCACGGUCUUUUGAUAUGAUUUCCCUUUGAGAGGGAAAUGAUCGUCGUGACCUCCACAAUUCUCUAUCGUACUCAGCAGGGUCUGCGAAUCAAAACGAUUCGUAGUGGUGCCUUCUCAUUUUCUCCAGUUUGAAUCAGCUCAUUUUCAAGCCACCUUUACUUUGUAUUUAUAUUGUCCAGGGGAUAUAGGUUUACUGCGUAUAUAUCCCGCGUCAAAGGCCAGCACAUUACCGCGAAGUUUUCUAGUCUAUGCCACGGAGAAAUUUUAAGUUUCGGACAUUCUUGCUCUAUCAAGCUAACAAACCUACGUC